UUUUUAAAAACAUCGCUCUUUGUAAUUUAUAAAUAGAGAGUCGUGCCUGCCCAGUGAAAGUGAUUUAACGGCCGCAGUACCCUGACUGUGCUAAGGUAGCAUAAUCAUUUGCCUUUUAAUUGGAGGCUAGAAUGAAUGGCUUGACGAGAAUUUGGCUGUCUCUAUUAUAUUAUAUAAAAAUUAUUAUUUAGGUGAAGAAACCUGAAUGUAAUCAAAAGACGAAAAGACCCUGUCGAGCUUAAAAUUUGUGUUUAAAUUUAUAGUUUUGGAAUAACAAAUAUUUAAUUAUUGAUUUUUUGUUGGGGUGACAGAAGAACAAAAAAAGCUUCUUUUAAUUGAUUUAACUCAUUAGUUUAAAAGAGCUAUUAAUUGUAAUUUAAGAAAAGUUACCGCAGGGAUAACAGCGUUAUUUUUCUGGAAAGUUCGAAUUGAAGGAGAAGUUUGCGACCUCGAUGUUGGAUUAGAAAACCAAAUGGGCGAAGAAACUCAUUAAAGGAGGUCUGUUCGACCUUUAAAUUUCUACAUGAUCUGAGU
RNAcentral lists this ribosomal RNA (534 nucleotides) under Callistochiton pulchellus. Its description in RNAcentral is "partial large subunit ribosomal RNA". It matches the Rfam family "Bacterial large subunit ribosomal RNA", at positions 1804 to 2610 of the family's 2925-position model. The record is from RNAcentral. Lineage: Eukaryota; Metazoa; Mollusca; Polyplacophora; Chitonida; Callistoplacidae.